CUGGCUCAGGACGAACGCUGGCGGCGUGCCUAACACAUGCAAGUCGAGCGGAGGGGAUAGGAGCUUGCUUUUUGAACCUCAGCGGCGGACGGGUGAGUAACACGUGGGUAACCUGCCCUUGAGAGGGGGAUAACAGGUCGAAAGGCCUGCUAAUACCGCAUAACGCUAAGAAGCUGCAUGGCGUCUUAGCCAAAGGUUAAUUCCGCUCAAGGAUGGGCCCGCGGCCCAUUAGCUAGU
This 237-nucleotide ribosomal RNA is filed under the name Caloramator proteoclasticus DSM 10124. RNAcentral's name for it is "16S rRNA. Bacterial SSU". It matches the Rfam family "Bacterial small subunit ribosomal RNA", at positions 19 to 249 of the family's 1533-position model. The record is from RNAcentral. Lineage: Bacteria; Bacillati; Bacillota; Clostridia; Eubacteriales; Clostridiaceae.